Molecule: ribosomal RNA, 273 nt
Filed under: uncultured bacterium
Lineage: Bacteria
Description: partial 16S ribosomal RNA
Rfam family: Bacterial small subunit ribosomal RNA
Source: RNAcentral
UACGGAGGGUGCAAGCGUUACUCGGAAUCACUGGGCGUAAAGGAUGCGUAGGCUGGAAAUCAAGUCGAGAGUGAAAUCCAACGGCUCAACCGUUGAACUGCUCUCGAAACUGGUUACCGAGAAUAUGGGAGAGGUAGAUGGAAGUAGUGGUGGAGGGGUAAAAUCCGUAGAUCGCACUAGGAAUACCGAUUGCGAAGGCGAUCUACUGGAACAUUAUUGACGCUGAGGAAUGCAAUCGUGGGGAGCCAACAGUAUUAGAUACCCGUGUAGUCC